UCAGAGAGCAGAGCGGAUACAGGGUCAGAGUGCAGAGCGGGCACAGGGUCAGAACUCAGGACUCAAUGUAACCACUUCACUUCUAGAAGCAGAGAGACCCGCAACUUUAAACACAUGGGUAAUCUCACCAAAGCUUCUGGCUGAUGCUGCAAAUGUCUCCAUAAGGCCACUGGCAAAAAGAAAGGAAGCCUUUAACUUUUGCUCUGAAAUAACCAGAUGUGAAGUUUGUUUUCACUUCUCUCACUACAUAUCCACUGCUUAAAGGAGCAACAUUUUACAAAUACUGGAGGUUGAAGAGUGAGGAGCAGCGUUUAUAGCAAUUCCACAACUCAAGUUCUCUUAAAGGUUUUUAACUAUCAGAGACAACAACAAGAAAAAUCUGUAUUAUGAUUUUAAUGCUAUUAAUAUAAAGCAAUUUAAAACCUUCACCUGGCAUUGGAUGGAGAAAAUGACAGAGCCCCACAUAGGAGCACCAGAC
Molecule: long non-coding RNA, 478 nt
Organism: Arvicola amphibius (Eurasian water vole)
Lineage: Eukaryota; Metazoa; Chordata; Mammalia; Rodentia; Cricetidae
Exons: 3
Source: RefSeq, a predicted model, not a curated record